UCGAACGGUGAACACGGAGCUUGCUCUGUGGGAUCAGUGGCGAACGGGUGAGUAACACGUGAGCAACCUGCCCCUGACUCUGGGAUAAGCGCUGGAAACGGCGUCUAAUACUGGAUACGAGUAGCGACCGCAUGGUCAGUUACUGGAAAGAUUUAUUGGUUGGGGAUGGGCUCGCGGCCUAUCAGCUUGUUGGUGAGGUAAUGGCUCACCAAGGCGUCGACGGGUAGCCGGCCUGAGAGGGUGACCGGCCACACUGGGACUGAGACACGGCCCAGACUCCUACGGGAGGCAGCAGUGGGGAAUAUUGCACAAUGGGCGCAAGCCUGAUGCAGCAACGCCGCGUGAGGGAUGACGGCCUUCGGGUUGUAAACCUCUUUUAGCAGGGAAGAAGCGAAAGUGACGGUACCUGCAGAAAAAGCGCCGGCUAACUACGUGCCAGCAGCCGCGGUAAUACGUAGGGCGCAAGCGUUAUCCGGAAUUAUUGGGCGUAAAGAGCUCGUAGGCGGUUUGUCGCGUCUGCUGUGAAAUCCGGAGGCUCAACCUCCGGCCUGCAGUGGGUACGGGCAGACUAGAGUGCGGUAGGGGAGAUUGGAAUUCCUGGUGUAGCGGUGGAAUGCGCAGAUAUCAGGAGGAACACCGAUGGCGAAGGCAGAUCUCUGGGCCGUAACUGACGCUGAGGAGCGAAAGGGUGGGGAGCAAACAGGCUUAGAUACCCUGGUAGUCCACCCCGUAAACGUUGGGAACUAGUUGUGGGGUCCAUUCCACGGAUUCCGUGACGCAGCUAACGCAUUAAGUUCCCCGCCUGGGGAGUACGGCCGCAAGGCUAAAACUCAAAGGAAUUGACGGGGACCCGCACAAGCGGCGGAGCAUGCGGAUUAAUUCGAUGCAACGCGAAGAACCUUACCAAGGCUUGACAUAUACGAGAACGGGCCAGAAAUGGUCAACUCUUUGGACACUCGUAAACAGGUGGUGCAUGGUUGU
RNAcentral lists this ribosomal RNA (981 nucleotides) under Microbacterium phyllosphaerae. RNAcentral describes it as "bacterial SSU rRNA". It matches the Rfam family "Bacterial small subunit ribosomal RNA", at positions 62 to 1052 of the family's 1533-position model. The record is from RNAcentral. Lineage: Bacteria; Bacillati; Actinomycetota; Actinomycetes; Micrococcales; Microbacteriaceae.